Long non-coding RNA from Alnus glutinosa, 307 nucleotides. RefSeq lists it as uncharacterized. The record is from RefSeq and is a predicted model, not a curated record. The transcript is spliced from 2 exons. NCBI's taxonomy places the organism in Eukaryota, Viridiplantae, Streptophyta, Magnoliopsida, Fagales, Betulaceae.
CUAAAUAACGUGAAAGACGAUGUUUUAUAGGUGCACAAGAGGUGAUGGAAGACGAUGAUGCUAAUGUUGGACAACUAGGCGCAUAGAUGGCAGGAGAAUGAUCUUUGGCAAGCAAAGGUAGAUGCUGACAUGCAGUGGAUUGGACAAAAUUUGAUGGAAGAAAGAAUCAUUUUGAUAUUUAUUUUUGAUGUUUUGUUCAAGCCUUCAAGGGUGGAGACUAUAUGUACUCUUAAGUUUUUUGCAUCAUUUUGACUAGUUGUACUUAGUGUUGGAUUAUAAUUAUAUGACAAUUAAAAUAUUUAUGUUA